This 562-nucleotide ribosomal RNA is filed under the name uncultured bacterium. Its description in RNAcentral is "bacterial SSU rRNA". It matches the Rfam family "Bacterial small subunit ribosomal RNA", at positions 337 to 917 of the family's 1533-position model. The record is from RNAcentral.
UCCUACGGGAGGCAGCAGUGGGGAAUCUUGCGCAAUGGGCGAAAGCCUGACGCAGCCAUGCCGCGUGAAUGAUGAAGGUCUUAGGAUUGUAAAAUUCUUUCACCGGGGACGAUAAUGACGGUACCCGGAGAAGAAGCCCCGGCUAACUUCGUGCCAGCAGCCGCGGUAAUACGAAGGGGGCUAGCGUUGCUCGGAAUUACUGGGCGUAAAGGGAGCGUAGGCGGACAUUUAAGUCAGGGGUGAAAUCCCGGGGCUCAACCUCGGAAUUGCCUUUGAUACUGGGUGUCUUGAGUAUGAGAGAGGUGUGUGGAACUCCGAGUGUAGAGGUGAAAUUCGUAGAUAUUCGGAAGAACACCAGUGGCGAAGGCGACACACUGGCUCAUUACUGACGCUGAGGCUCGAAAGCGUGGGGAGCAAACAGGAUUAGAUACCCUGGUAGUCCACGCCGUAAACGAUGAUUGCUAGUUGUCGGGAUGCAUGCAUUUCGGUGACGCAGCUAACGCAUUAAGCAAUCCGCCUGGGGAGUACGGUCGCAAGAUUAAAACUCAAAGGAAUUGACGGA